Molecule: ribosomal RNA, 253 nt
Filed under: uncultured bacterium
Lineage: Bacteria
Description: partial 16S ribosomal RNA
Rfam family: Bacterial small subunit ribosomal RNA
Source: RNAcentral
UACGUAGGCAGCGAGCGUUGUUCGGAGUUACUGGGCGUAAAGCGUGCGUAGGCGGUUUUCUAAGUCUGGUGUGAAAUCUCCCGGCUCAACUGGGAGGGUGCGCUAGAAACUGGGAGGCUGGAGUGCGGGAGAGGUAGGCGGAAUUCCUGGUGUAGCGGUGAAAUGCGUAGAUAUCAGGAGGAACACCGGUGGUGUAGACGGCCUGCUGGACCGUAACUGACGCUGAGGCACGAAAGCGUGGGGAGCAAACAGG